GUGCUUGCGUGUGUACGUUAAUUUAGCUUCGUUAACUAACGUAAAGUUACAUCUUUUUUAUAGGAAUCAACAGCUUCUUGAGGCUCAACGUUCAGAUAUUUCUCCUUCGGGUAAGUGGGAGUUACAUGUGAAGUUAUAAAUUUAGACUCGAGAGUUAUGAAUUCUGCCAAUGUUGAUAGAAAAUGCCAUUUGCAGAUAAGCUAAUUGCUUUCAGAAGUCAUGCUAGAAAGUUUACGAAGACUAGUUGUAUGUUUAACUAUCUAUAAUUUAUUAAACGUGUUGUCUUAAGUUCAUAGGAUAUUGGGGCACCUAAAAGUGCGUUUGUUAAACAGGGUAGAACGAUAUUGCCGUCAUCAUGACAAGUGUGAAAGGCAGUAUGUACAGUUAGAAGCCUUUCAAGCCUUAAAAGAACGAUUGAAUACACAACAACUUCAGUUUCAGAAGACGCAUGUUGUUGAUACAAAAAUGAUAAUUAAGGUGCAGUAUGAAAAUCGCAAGAAAUACAUCAAAUUACAGGCUGCUGAUUUUGAUGAAUUCAUUUCUCAAGGUAAAAUUCCCAAUAAC
This is a non-coding RNA of Danio rerio (zebrafish), 564 nucleotides long. NCBI's taxonomy places the organism in Eukaryota, Metazoa, Chordata, Actinopteri, Cypriniformes, Danionidae. The record is from RefSeq and is a predicted model, not a curated record.